This 484-nucleotide ribosomal RNA is filed under the name uncultured bacterium. RNAcentral describes it as "partial 16S ribosomal RNA". It matches the Rfam family "Bacterial small subunit ribosomal RNA", at positions 28 to 523 of the family's 1533-position model. The record is from RNAcentral.
GACGAACGCUGGCGGCGUGCUUAACACAUGCAAGUCGAACGAUGAAGCUAGAGCUUGCUCUGGUGAAUUAGUGGCGAACGGGUGAGUAACACGUGAGUAACCUGCCCCGAACUCUGGGAUAACUGCUGGAAACGGUAGCUAAUACUGGAUACGACCUACGAAGGCAUCUUCUGUAGGUGGAAAGAAUUUCGGUUCGGGAUGGACUCGCGGCCUAUCAGCUUGUUGGUGAGGUAAUGGCUCACCAAGGCGACGACGGGUAGCCGGCCUGAGAGGGGGGGCGGCCGCGCUGGGACUGAGACACGGCCCAGACUCCUACGGGAGGCAGCAGUGGGGAAUAUUGCACAAUGGGCGCAAGCCUGAUGCAGCAACGCCGCGUGAGGGAUGACGGCCUUCGGGUUGUAAACCUCUUUUAGUAGGGAAGAAGCGAAAGUGACGGUACCUGCAGGAAAAGCACCGGUUAACUACGUGCCAGCCGCCGCGGUAA